This 588-nucleotide ribosomal RNA is filed under the name uncultured beta proteobacterium. RNAcentral describes it as "bacterial SSU rRNA". It matches the Rfam family "Bacterial small subunit ribosomal RNA", at positions 8 to 593 of the family's 1533-position model. Lineage: Bacteria; Pseudomonadati; Pseudomonadota; Betaproteobacteria. The record is from RNAcentral.
AGAGUUUGAUCCUGGCUCAGAUUGAACGCUGGCGGCAUGCUUUACACAUGCAAGUCGAACGGCAGCGCGGGGCAACCUGGCGGCGAGUGGCGAACGGGUGAGUAAUAUAUCGGAACGUACCCAGAAGUGGGGGAUAACGUAGCGAAAGUUACGCUAAUACCGCAUACGAUCUACGGAUGAAAGUGGGGGACCUUCGGGCCUCAUGCUUUUGGAGCGGCCGAUAUCUGAUUAGCUAGUUGGUAGGGUAAUGGCCUACCAAGGCGACGAUCAGUAGCUGGUCUGAGAGGACGACCAGCCACACUGGAACUGAGACACGGUCCAGACUCCUACGGGAGGCAGCAGUGGGGAAUUUUGGACAAUGGGCGCAAGCCUGAUCCAGCAAUGCCGCGUGAGUGAAGAAGGCCUUCGGGUUGUAAAGCUCUUUUGUCAGGGAAGAAACGGCUCCGGCUAAUAUCCGGGGCUAAUGACGGUACCUGAAGAAUAAGCACCGGCUAACUACGUGCCAGCAGCCGCGGUAAUACGUAGGGUGCAAGCGUUAAUCGGAAUUACUGGGCGUAAAGCGUGCGCAGGCGGUUUUGUAAGUCUGAC